RNAcentral lists this ribosomal RNA (492 nucleotides) under uncultured bacterium. RNAcentral describes it as "partial 16S ribosomal RNA". It matches the Rfam family "Bacterial small subunit ribosomal RNA", at positions 29 to 507 of the family's 1533-position model. The record is from RNAcentral.
AGUGAACGCUGGCGGUAGGCCUAACACAUGCAAGUCGAAGGGCAGCACAUUAAGACCUUACUCUAACGAGUGCCGAGUGGCGGACAGGUGGGGAAUACAUUGGAAUCUGCUUUUUCGUGGGGGGUGACGACUGGAAACUAACGCUAAUACUGCAUAGGACCUGCGGGUCAAUGCAGUGAAACUUCGCACCUUGCGCGAUUGAAUGAGCCGAUGUCGGAUUAGGUAGUGGGCGGGGUAAAGGCCGACCAAGGGGACGAUCCGUAGCUGUUCUGGGAGGAUGAUCAGGCAGACUGGAACUGAGACACGGUCCAGACUGCUACGGGAGGCAGCAGUGGGGAAUAUUGGACAAUGGGCGCAAGCCUGAUCCAGACAUACCGCGUGGGUGAAGAAGGCAUUCGGGUUGUAAAGACAUUUUGUUGGGAAAGAAAAGCAGCAGGUUAAUACCCCGCUGUUCUGACGGUACCCAAAGAAUAAGCAACGGCUAAAUUCGUG